RNAcentral lists this long non-coding RNA (418 nucleotides) under Saimiri boliviensis boliviensis (Bolivian squirrel monkey). RNAcentral's name for it is "lncRNA (ENSSBOG00000036779.1)". The record is from RNAcentral. Lineage: Eukaryota; Metazoa; Chordata; Mammalia; Primates; Cebidae.
ACCAGUGUAACUGCCUGGUUGCAAGUCACCGCCAGGAUUUCAUCUGAACAAAGACACUUAGAGGCCCACAACCUUCACACUUGCAGCUCUGGGCUCCAGCACCUAAUUCCUUCAGUCUCUGCCUUCAAAACACAAAGGUCUCAGGAGGAACAUGGAAGAAACAGAGAUACUUUCAGUGGAACAGAAUAAACCACUGAACAGUGACUUGAUUUUCCCAUUGGGAAAAAUGAGGAAGCUGUGCGUACCAGAGGGAGGAACGAGCCAGGGAGACAGACUGGAACCACCUCAGAAGCUUUGCCCCUCAGCCCGGAACCUGCCCUGUCUCCUCCCAGCUGAUGAGGACAAGUCCAGCCUGCGCUUGGGGAUCCUUCGUACGACCGUUCAGUGGUGAGUAGGUAUGACAGCAUUUUCUGAUUUC